AUUUUACAAAAUCUUUUAAAUCUUUUAAGCUAAAGUUUUUGGUACAAAAAAAUAUAUGAUUCUAUUUAAAAUGAAUAAUAUUUUUGUAAUAAUAUCUUAUAUUGAUAAAUUUGACAUAAAUAAUUUACAUACCUUUUAAGUUCAAACAAAUUUCCUGUCAUGUAUCCUCAAGAAGAUUACUCGAUAUCUUAAACCGCCCACGUCAAUUACCGCCACGAAAAUCUUGGUUCGUGAUUUCUCUCCUCCAUUUUUCGUCACGUGUCAAUGGUGCGCACGCUCCUUUCGCAUUAACGCGCAUGUCAGUCCAAUGGAGAUUAAUUGCUUACCCACAACCGGCUGCAAUUACAACUGAUCGCGAUUCGUACACUUUUACACGAAUCGGCAUGAUGGAGCGCACGUGGAAACGGGCUUUAAAGGAACUCGAUAUGGUUGGGUGCUCAUACGAAAUACUGGGCGAAAUAAUGAUGCCGUAAAACGAGGUACGAUCUCUGGCGGCUCCCAGAAAUCUCGUGUGUACAAAUUAACGAUGGAAUUCGAUUACGUGAGUGCACAUACAUUUAAAGUUGAAUACGGAUGGGAGAUUGAUGGAAAUGACGUUUGCAUCAUUCGAAAUACUUCGUGCUUACAGUGUUAAAUUAUGUGGAUAAUAUAUUUCUCAUAUUAUUAUCGUUGUUCUUUGCCAUUUAUGGAUCAGUGUUUAAAUACAUAAUUUAAAAUUGAUACACUAGUUUGGAAGCAUAAAUCCUGUUAUUGUUAAUAAUACGUUACAAAUGAUGUGGAGAUAUUAUAAUUAUCUAUGAUGAAGAUCGCGUGUGUCAUAAAAAUCUAGGAAGAAAUGAAAUUUAGCCCGGAAUCUUAAUUAAACCAUCACUGGUGUGAAAAUAAUUGGCGAAUUUACUAUUCCUUUGAUGUCAGAUAACAUAGAUUUCUCCUAAUUAAGCUUGACUUACGCCAACAAGAUUUGUCCAUCAAUUCCAUAAGACCUAGAAUUAAAACUGAUACUUUCAAAACGAUACGAAACAAAGCAUUUCGUACAAUUCAAAUAAUUUUGAAAAAAAAUUUAAAAACUAAACGAAAAUUUGAAAAAAAAAUUGUAUAAAGAAACUAACUAAAUUGAAUAAUUCUCUUAUAUGUUAAUAUUCAGUAUUAUAUUUUUGAACAGAAACAAAAUUCAAAAAUUCUUAAAAAAUAUAUGGUGUUAGAAAAAAAUUUUAUAAAAACAUAUCACAAUACACUACACAUUCAAUAUGAUGUGAAUUCACUGUUGGAUUUCAAUCUAUAAGUUGAGAAACAUUGAUCUGUAAUACACUAUUUUCUAUAACAUUGUAUAUUCAAUGGAAAAUAUAAAUCUUCUUUUAAUCUUUUCAUAUACUUCGAAUUUUAAUAUUUGACAAAAAUAACGAGUUAACUAGCCACAGUACAUCACGUAUUUUCCAUUUACCAAAUCAACAAUUUCAAUCUCAUUGAAAAACGAUUCGAAUCCAAGUCAAUGAUCGAUGGAGGAAAACAACUCAGGGGUCACCGUCCGUUCGUAUCAAAAGAAGGAUAUUUCCAGGAUCUUUUCUAGAUAGGACAGGCGUGCACAGGCAGAGUAUGUGUCGUGGCCGAUAAUUAUCGACGAGGCUGAUCGUGCGUGCGGCCAGAAAAAUGGCGAGCAACGGGACAGGUCGGUCGGCGACUACUGCCUAGACCGCGGUCUCCUGUCGAUGUCGAAUGAAGAUGUCCCGGCUAUGUUCUCCCUUGCCUACGUACCAGCUGGAAUAAGUGUGGGUAAUUUGCUCGACUGGCUAGACCACUUGUUUUGCGGAGGGAACCGAUGCCGUUUAAGAGACCGUGCCACCGAGCAAAUUCUCGUUCACGUAUGUGUUACGUAAUUCAUGUGCACGAUUAUUGUGUGCAUGAAAAUGGAUCCGUGAGAGAUGGAUUUAUGAUUUUGGAAGAGAAAAUAAUGCAUUUUUGAUAUAUUAUAUUAUUUAAUGAUUUUUUUUAUUUUGAAUUUUAUGUCUUGGUCUUUUUUAAGUUUAAACUUGAGAUAAUAAUUGUAUAUUCUUGAGGUAUUUUAUGAGGUAAUAAGAAUAUAUGUUCUUUCAUUUUUUUUUUUUUUUUUUAGUUUUUCUUGCAGAGGAAAAAAUCAUGGGAUAUAGAACAUAGAGAAAGUUUGCACUUAUUGAAUGAUAUUGAAAUUGAUCUCAAGAGUUAAGAAAGAUAUAAUCAUGUUUUGAUAAUGUUUUAUGAAAGAAACUCUUGCUACAUCAUCAAUUAGUAAUACAAAUUAUUUUAUGUAUAAAAAGGAAGAAUAUAAGAAUAUAAGAUCAGUGAAAAAUAUUUGAGAAGUAGACUAUUAGUGAAAUGUGUGAAUUUUUAAUAACAGAAAUUAUCGUGUCUUUAACGUAAUUAAAAUUCUAGAUUUUCGAGAAUUUCAAAGUAAUCUAGUUUGUCUUGACAUGCAAAAAUGUGAUUUUUUAAUCAAACAUCUAAAAAAAUUCGAUAAGAGAUAUGAGACUCAAAUGCAUUUAAAAAAAAUAGUUGAAGGCUGAUUGCAUGAAACAUGUAAAGUGAAAAUAGAUGUCGAACACGAAAUAAGAAUAAUAAAAUAUCUAAUCGAAAGGUAUAGAUUAGUCAGAUACGAUAUCAAAGUUAAUUGGUAUGUAACUAUUUUAUGUUUAUAUAGAGUUUUAUACAUGUGUAAUAAAGCUUUAUAAAAUAGAAUUAUUUUAUGCAUUAGAUCAUAAACUUAAUGUUUUUUUUCUUUAAUUACAAGAAUUCUCUUAUUCGAAAAAAUAAUAUAGUCUUUUAUGUUAAUUUUGAUAUUAGAGUCUCCAUUAUAUUAUUAUAUUAUCAAAUUCAUUACAACAAAAUGAAAUCGAAAAAAAUCAUCGAUUACAUUUAUAUCAUAUAAAAAUUAAAUAAUCAUCUUCAUUAUCAAAUAUUCUUCUUGAUACAUUAUGAAUUACAUUAAUAUUUAUCUUAAUUCUUGAUUUUCUUCUUCUAUAUUGAAUAAAAUAUAAAGGAAUAUAUUUGAAUAUAUUUUUUCUCACUUAUUAUUUUUUUCUAUAUUUGUUAUAAUAUAAAAAAAAUCCAAACAUUCAUAAAACUAUCUUAAUAUUGAUUAAAUUUCAACAUCAUUUUUUAUAUCUAAAAAUAAUUUAGAUUUCAAUUUUCAAGUACUUUUAAUUUUUGAUUCUUUUUCUUCUUUAUAUUUAGAAAAUGUAAGUACUAGCUCGACUAUCAAGAUUAAAUUUCAAUAUCUUAUAAAUUUUAUAAGUAGUUUGAAUCUCGAUUUUUACCUACUUAUUCAACUUUCAUUGUAUUUAGCAACCUAGAGCGAAGAAAUGAGAGAAUGCAAAGUAUUCCUGUUCGACCUUUGACAACUCGCUCGGAACACAGAGAGGCCAUACGUCAGGAAGACCGGUUAAUGGACACCAAAGUAACAACCGGCAGGUUUCCCUUUACUCUGUGCUAUGCGUUUAAGCAACAAGGGCCGGUGGCUAGAAUUAAUGAGGCACCAGUUUCCAGUAAUGUUAGUCGUGAUAGGAUCGGCGAAUCAAAAUGCAGAUUUGUACAGAUGAAGAGUCUGGCACUGGUUCGAUUGCUGUACACGUUCCAAUGUUUAAUGGUUUGAAUGUGUCGCUAAGAUCAAGAUAUAUUCAGAGCUCGCGAUAAGCGGAUAUUUGAAAGGAUAUUUGAUAAAUCCUUUGAUCAGCCAUUCAAGAUAUUUUAUAACAUAAAUAUUUAAUAAUUUUAGAUUUUUCAAAUUUUAGUUCUAUAUAAAUGAAAGUAAUAUUGUGGAGAGUAAUUAAAAUCUAUAUAUUUGAUUGAGAAGAUAUUUUAUAAAUUCUAAAAAAUUACAAAAAUAAUUAUUUGUUUUAAAAUUUUGAUCAUUAUAGGAAAUUAAAUAUACUUUGAAUAUUGAAAUAAUUGUGAAUUACAUUUUUUCUUAAAUUUUGAAUGUUAAAUACUUGUUAAUAUUAUAAGAAAACAAAUAAGAAGAAAGGAAAUUAAUAACAUUGAUUGAAGCUCAAUUUACAUAUAAUCAAUAGUGAAUAAUCAAUUGUAGAAACAAUACUAAUUGUACAAUGUGCAUAGUUUUAUAGAUAUGUCAUACUUAGUUGUGCAAGUAUAUAGAAAAUUAUAGGAUGCAUCGUUAUCAUUCAAAGACUUGUAAUAUACCUUAUUCAAACUAUGUUAGAUAUAUGAAGUCUUUCAACAUUUUCUAAGAUUAUUACGAACUUACGAUUUUAAAUGAUGAUUUGAAUGACUUGACAUUUUUGUAUUGAAUAUAUGAUGUGCCAUUUCAAUGAAAUCUAUUUCUGAAUAGAAAUAUUUGACGAUUAAUUAAUGAAUGUCAGCUUGAAUAAUCUCUACUUACUACCACUUUAUUACUCAAACUCCUUUCUUUUUUUUCUUAUAUAGUGUAUUAAAUAUAUUGAAUUUAAAUAUAUUAUUUUAUUUAUUUCUUACUUAUUCAUUUUAAACAACUUUCACAUAUCAAUUUGAUUUUAAACUAAUAUUUGUCAUUUUGUUACAAAAUUUGUCUUUUAAUUCACUUAAAGAAUUUAUUUUAAUAUUGAGUUCAAGAUCUCAAUACUUAAGUAAUAUUUUUCUUUACAAACAUUCAAUUUAUUAUAUUCGACAUUAAUCAAUAAGAAUAUAGAAAUGUACUAAAAUAACAAAGCAAUCUUUAAAAAUUCUUAAAAUAACCCCUUGAUCCAUCUUCUCGACCUACUCGUCAUGCCAAGCUCACACAGCUGGCUGUAUUUCAUCAGGAAAGUUUUGUUCCCGAGUGCACAGUGCUGCCGUUGACCCAUGAAAUUACCCGUUGAAAAUUUCCCGAACGCCGUUUUCCCCUGUGCGCGCAACUCUCACAUUCCGACCACGCGUUUACAUACGUGUGCACGUAUAUAAUGAUAGAUAUCACCGCAUCAUCUAUUGUAACGCGUGUAAUGAGAAUCGCAAAUAGGCGUGCAAUUUGAUAAGCUUGUCAACCGUCGUUACGGUUCAUGCGUCUGCAGAAUUGAAUAGGGACUACAGUUAGACCGAAGGGCGCUACGGGCGCAGACAGACAGAUACAGGAAGGAGAGGCCACAUAGUUAGGUUAUGUUAUGAGAACCUAUAUGUAUUUGCAUACAUCAAUUUUGAAAAGGUUAUGUGGUAAUGAUUAAUAUCUUACAAUUAUUUUAAAUAAUUUUAAUUGUGAAUAAUCGUUGUAACAAACAGACAAAGAUAGAAAGGGGAAAUUACACAGUUAAGUUAUGAACAGAAAUCCUUUAGAGUUAUACGUACUUAUAGACAGAUACAGAAAGGAAAAUCUAUAUAGUUAGGUUAUAUUAUGAGAAUCUAUAUUUAUAUGUAUUUAUUAAUUUUAAAAAGAUUAAUAUCUUACAUUCUUUAGUUCCUUUAAAUAAUUAGAAUUGUGAAUAACAGAAAAAAAUUGUUGCAAUAGAAAAAAACCACAUAAAAGAUAGAUUACAUAGUAUGAAAAGUUACAUGAUAAUAUCUUAUAAUUAAUUAGUUAUAAUUGUAUAAUAAGACAAAGACAUAUAAAAGAAUUAUAGAUAUAUAAUAUACAAUAAGAUAAUGAUUCUAAACAUUAUGAAAAGAAUUGAUUAACUUGAUAGAUGCUAUCCUCAUCAUUUAGAAUAAACAUAUGUAGAUAAUAAAUUUUUCAUAAUAUAUGUGCCAAAGAAUCUUUUUAAUUCGGUAUCAUUUAUUAAAAAAAACUUAAAAAUUUAUUAUAUAUUUAAAAUCACGAAAGAAUAUCUUUUCAAAAGAAUAUUUGUUGCAUAAUAGUCCAAAUACAUCGUGCAUCGAAUCUUUUUUAUCUAAAAUACUUUGAACAAACUUCCACGAUUUUUUAUAUUUCUCAAUCAUCUCGGUGUAUAAGAAAUUACAACAUAACAAACUUAUGAUCCAACCUUGAAAAAUGGCCAUGGAACAUUUUCCUCCACGAGACAGCAAUAAUUUCCAAGCGAAGCUUUUCAGGAUCUUCGUUAAACGUUCUGAAGUGGCGUUCCCGUUAGAGGAAUCCAGCUGGCUAUGAGGAAGCAAUGUCCUUUGUCUUGUCAGACGCGUUUCCCCGUUCAAAGCUUCGGACUUCUCGCGUCCUGGGGAAUUCAUAGGUUUGUUAUGCGCGCGAUUCCCUCUACCGAUGCAAUCUCGCCGCGUUUUAUGUUCUUGUGCCUGCCACUAGGGGGAAAAACGAAUCGCGCGAAACGUGGCCUGAACCGAUGGCGAUCAAGUAAAAACGUGGAAACGUGGAAACGUGUACCAGGCUGCUACCGUACCUAUUUUCCUGUUCUUUUUUUCGCGAUUCGUUUUCCAGCGGUUUUCGAUCGUGAACGAUUCUGCGGCUUCCGGAAGAGGAAGAAGACGUAUACAAGAUGUCUGACGAUAAGUUCGUUUUGUGCAAUAAUAAACUUAUUUUCAUUUAGCAUCGUGAAAAUCAGUGUUUUAUUUAUUUAAUCUAGAAAAAAAAUCCACGAAUGGAUUGCUUCUAGAAAUACCAUAAAUAUCAAGCCUCUCAAGGCUUUCCUCUUUUUACAAGAUAUAGAACGUGAAUUUUUCUUCCCAGACUCGACUGUUCUCAUGUCAUUGAAAAAAUGAAAAAAAUAAAAAAACAGGAAAACUCAACAGAAAUUUCUCGAUCAUAUAUAAUACGAAGAAAAAAGAAAUUUUAUAUAGAUGUCGAUCUUACGUAAAACAUGGAUACAAAUCUAUUCCUUGAUGCAAAGGAUAGUUUAAUGUCACUGUUUCCAUCUUCGACGUGAAAGCAUUUGGAUGAGACAAAUUUAUGAAACGUCAGACAUGAUCAUUGUACACGGGGCCAAUGAAAUUCCAACGGGUUGCAUAAGGAUUUCCUGGAUGGAGGAUCACUGGUGAAAGCUGAGACAACGUCCUCAUUAUGACCUUUUAACGUUAUAUUGGAUUAUUUUUAUGAUAAUUACCACCAUUUGUGUAUGGUAUGAUGGUACAUGUACGUGGACGUUGAAUGAAUUUAAGAGAAAUUAUAGAUCCAAUGUGCUAUAAUAUAUGUAAGUUUGUGGUACGGGAUACAAAGGAUAAUGGUAGCGGAAAAGGAUAAUAGUAGUGUUUCGAUAUGCAAGAUAUUCGAAAUUAUAUGGGGUACAGCGUGGGACAUCUAAUUUGCAUGUCUUGAAUAACUAUGUAUUAAAUGUUCACUGUAUUAAAUUGUGUAAAGCAUUUAAUUUAAUUUAUUUUCUAUAUUAUUGGAGAUUAUUGGAAUUAUAUAAGAUAGGAAGUUAACUUAUUUCAUUUAUAUUUUAAAUAUAAAAAAAAAUAUAAUUUCUUUUAUAAAAUUAA
Molecule: long non-coding RNA, 7320 nt
Organism: Apis cerana (Asiatic honeybee)
Lineage: Eukaryota; Metazoa; Arthropoda; Insecta; Hymenoptera; Apidae
Source: RefSeq, a predicted model, not a curated record